Molecule: ribosomal RNA, 292 nt
Filed under: uncultured bacterium
Lineage: Bacteria
Description: partial 16S ribosomal RNA
Rfam family: Bacterial small subunit ribosomal RNA
Source: RNAcentral
GUGUCAGCCGCCGCGGUAAGACGGAGGGUGCUAGCGUUGUUCGGAAUCACUGGGCGUAAAGGGCGCGCAGGCGGCCCCUCGCGUCGGACGUGAAAGCCCGGGGCUCAACCCCGGAACGGCGUCCGAUACGGGGGGGCUCGAGGCCGGGAGAGGGGGGUGGAAUACCCAGUGUAGAGGUGAAAUUCGUAGAUAUUGGGUGGAACACCGGUGGCGAAAGCGGCCCCCUGGCCCGGUCCUGACGCUGAGGCGCGAAAGCGUGGGGAGCAAACAGGAUUAGAUACCCCUGUAGUCC